Non-coding RNA from Salmo salar (Atlantic salmon), 54 nucleotides. The record is from Rfam. NCBI's taxonomy places the organism in Eukaryota, Metazoa, Chordata, Actinopteri, Salmoniformes, Salmonidae.
UGCAUUCACUACUGUAAAUCGCUCUGGAUAAGAGCGUCUGCUAAAUUACUAAAA